This 253-nucleotide ribosomal RNA is filed under the name uncultured bacterium. RNAcentral describes it as "partial 16S ribosomal RNA". It matches the Rfam family "Bacterial small subunit ribosomal RNA", at positions 524 to 776 of the family's 1533-position model. The record is from RNAcentral.
UACGUAGGGUGCAAGCGUUGUCCGGAAUUAUUGGGCGUAAAGAGCUCGUAGGCGGUUCGUCGCGUCGGCUGUGAAAUCCCGAGGCUCAACCUCGGGUCUGCAGUCGAUACGGGCGGACUGGAGUUCGGCAGGGGAGACUGGAAUUCCUGGUGUAGCAGUGAAAUGCGUAGAUAUCAGGAGGAAUACCGAUGGCGAAGGCAGGUCUCUGGGCCAUAACUGACGCUGAGAAGCGAAAGCAUGGGGAGCGAACAGG